AGACAGCUCCCCGAGUAAAGCCAGGCACAUGCCAUCACAGCUUUCAUUUCUUGGUCAGCCAAGACCACUGAGCAGGAGAUCCAAAAUAUCUUUAUUUUAGCUGCAGUGAAAAUGAGACAGGGGGUUUAAGAACCACACAACAGACACACCAGGCAAGACAAAGGAAUUCAAAUUUAUAAAAUACUGUGCCCUUUCCUACAUCUAGAGGACCAAAAGAUGGUAGUAUACGCACUGGUAACCUCAAGGUUAGAAUUCUGCAAUGUGCUUUACAUUGGGCUUCUCUUGUACCAAGUUUGGAAACAUGUACCAAGUUUGGAUUGUACAGGAUCUCGUACAAUCUGUCCUGAACAUGUAGGUCCUCUCGGGGUGACUACUCCAGCCCACAGGAACCCGAAUGGAGGCUGUCACUCAGAGGACUUUUUCAUUGGCCGUUCCUAGACUGUGGAAUGACCUGUUAGAUUAGAUCUGACAGCCAAUGAGCUGUCAAAAUUUAAAACACAUUUGAAGAUCUCUCUUUCAGCAGGCCUACCCAGCAAGUUUUAAUUACAAAUUUUAAACUUGUGUCUUAUGUUUUUUCUGUGUAUUUUAAAAUUUAUUUUGUGGAAAUACAUGUUAAUAUGUGUAUUUUGUACAAUGUUUUGAUGAUUAUUUGUUUUUAUUUUAUUUGUUUAUUAUGUUUAUUUAUAACCUGCUUUAACUCUCCAUACAGAGACUCAAAGCAGCUCACAACUAAAAACAUUUCAAUACAAUUUAAAAUAUACAAAUAUACAAAUAUUUUUAGCAAUGUUGUAAUCCACCGCGAGCCAAGAGGAGCAGUGGGUUAUGAUGGUGCCCUGCCUACCUUUACAGAAAGGGAAUGCAUCACUCAAGAUAUAUGGGCAUUUUGCUCUGAAAGUGAAUGUGAGAUGAACAAUGCUGGAAAUUCAUUGAUAGGAUACUGUGAAGGAGGAAAAAACUGCUGUGCAAAGUGAAAUGAAAAGUCCGAUUGAAGGAUUGGAGAAACAUUUCACCAAUGCCCUUCAGGAAUCAUUCUUAUUUCAAGUACAAAUUGGAUUGGCCUGAGGAUAACAUUAUGAAGGAGUGGAGAGCAUCAAAUAAUCCAUCCUGUUUUUGUUUUAUGUUAUUGCAUGGAAUUUUGAAUAAACAAUAAAUUUCUCAA
Anolis carolinensis (green anole) is the source of this 1159-nucleotide long non-coding RNA. RefSeq lists it as uncharacterized. The transcript is spliced from 3 exons. NCBI's taxonomy places the organism in Eukaryota, Metazoa, Chordata, Lepidosauria, Squamata, Anolidae. The record is from RefSeq and is a predicted model, not a curated record.